This 644-nucleotide ribosomal RNA is filed under the name Spumella sp. D-5-F4. Its description in RNAcentral is "SSU rRNA". It matches the Rfam family "Eukaryotic small subunit ribosomal RNA", at positions 412 to 1085 of the family's 1831-position model. The record is from RNAcentral. Lineage: Eukaryota; Chrysophyceae; Chromulinales; Chromulinaceae.
CAUCCAAGGAAGGCAGCAGGCGCGUAAAUUACCCAAUCCUGACACAGGGAGGUAGUGACAAUAAAUAACAAUGCCGGGCUAUUUAGUCUGGCAAUUGGAAUGAGAACAAUUUAAAUCCCUUAUCGAGGAUCAAUUGGAGGGCAAGUCUGGUGCCAGCAGCCGCGGUAAUUCCAGCUCCAAUAGCGUAUACUAAAGUUGUUGCAGUUAAAAAGCUCGUAGUUGAAUUUCUGGUUGGGUUCGGUCGCUCAAGAGGGUACCAGGGCUGGCCAUCCUCGAGGAAACUUCUGUCAUUAAGUUAAUGGGGGGAUCCUCGUCAUUUACUGUGAGCAAAAUAGGGUGUUCAAAGCAGGCUUAGCCGUUGAAUACAUUAGCAUGGAAUAAUAAGAUAAGACCUUGGUCUAUUUUGUUGGUUUGUACUCCAAGGUAAUGAUUAAUAGGGAUAGUUGGGGGUAUUCGUAUUCAAUUGUCAGAGGUGAAAUUCUUGGAUUUAUGGAAGACGAACUACUGCGAAAGCAUUCACCAAGGAUGUUUUCAUUAAUCAAGAACGAAAGUUAGGGGAUCGAAGAUGAUUAGAUACCAUCGUAGUCUUAACCAUAAACUAUGCCGACUUGGGAUUGGUAGCGUUUGUAAUGACACUAUCAUCA